This 86-nucleotide transfer RNA is filed under the name Ignavibacteriota bacterium. RNAcentral's name for it is "tRNA-Leu". It matches the Rfam family "tRNA". From Rfam's summary of the family: Transfer RNA (tRNA) molecules are approximately 80 nucleotides in length. Their secondary structure includes four short double-helical elements and three loops (D, anti-codon, and T loops). Further hydrogen bonds mediate the characteristic L-shaped molecular structure. tRNAs have two regions of fundamental functional importance: the anti-codon, which is responsible for specific mRNA codon recognition, and the 3' end, to which the tRNAs corresponding amino acid is attached (by aminoacyl-tRNA synthetases). tRNAs cope with the degeneracy of the genetic code in two manners: having more than one tRNA (with a specific anti-codon) for a particular amino acid; and 'wobble' base-pairing, i.e. permitting non-standard base-pairing at the 3rd anti-codon position. RNAcentral also lists the same sequence under 3 other names. The record is from RNAcentral. Lineage: Bacteria; Pseudomonadati; Ignavibacteriota.
GCCGGGAUGGCGGAAUUGGUAGACGCACAGGACUUAAAAUCCUGUGGGCAUUUAUGCCCGUGCCGGUUCGACUCCGGCUCUCGGUA